AUACGCGAAGAACCUUACCUGGCCUUGACAUAGAAAGAAUUUAGCAGAGAUGUAAAAGUGCUAGUUUACUAGAGCUUUCAUACAGAUGCUGCACGGCUGUCGUCAGCUCGUGUCGUGAGAUGUUAGGUUAAGUCCUGCAACGAGCGCAACCCUCGUGUUUAGUUACUAACAGAUUAUGCUGAGGACUCUAGACAUACUACCUGGGCAACCAGGAGGAAGGUGAGGACGACGUCAAGUCAUCAUGGCCCUUACGGCCAGGGCUACACACGUGCUACAAUGGGGUAUACAAAGAGCAGCGAUACCGCGAGGUGGAGCAAAUCUCAUAAAAUAUCUCCCAGUUCGGAUUACACUCUGCAACUCGAGUGUAUGAAGUUGGAAUCGCUAGUAAUCGUAGAUCAGCAAACUACGGUGAAUACGUUCCCGGGUCUUGUACUCACCGCCCG
RNAcentral lists this ribosomal RNA (443 nucleotides) under uncultured Campylobacterota bacterium. RNAcentral describes it as "bacterial SSU rRNA". It matches the Rfam family "Bacterial small subunit ribosomal RNA", at positions 957 to 1396 of the family's 1533-position model. The record is from RNAcentral. Lineage: Bacteria; Pseudomonadati; Campylobacterota.